GGCCGCGGUAUCCUGACCGUGCAAAGGUAGCAUAAUCAUUUGUUCCUUAAUUAGGGACUUGUAUGAAUGGCCCCACGAGGGUUUAACUGUCUCUUACUUUUAAUCAGUGAAAUUGACCUUCCCGUGAAGAGGCGGGAAUACAAAAAUAAGACGAGAAGACCCUAUGGAGCUUAAAUUAAUAUGUUCAACAGAAUUUAAUUAUAAUCCAACAGGAAUAAAAAUAUUCUAACUGAACAAUAAAUUUUGGUUGGGGUGACCUCGGAGUAUAACAUAACCUCCGAGCAAUUAAACCAAGACUUACCAGUCAAGGCCAUAUAACUUAUUGAUCCAAUCUUAUUGAUCAACGAAACAAGUUACCCUAGGGAUAACAGCGCAAUCCUAUUUAAGAGUUCAUAUCGACAAUAGGGUUUACGACCUCGAUGUUGGAUCAGGACACCCAAAUGGUGCAGCAGCU
Molecule: ribosomal RNA, 454 nt
Filed under: Crocidura olivieri (Olivier's shrew)
Lineage: Eukaryota; Metazoa; Chordata; Mammalia; Eulipotyphla; Soricidae
Description: partial large subunit ribosomal RNA
Rfam family: Bacterial large subunit ribosomal RNA
Source: RNAcentral